UGCUAAUGCCGGAUAACAACAGAUGAUGCCUAUCAACUGUUUAAAAGAUGGUUCUGCUAUCACUCUUGGAUGGACCUGCGGUGCAUUAGCUAGUUGGUAGGGUAACGGCCUACCAAGGCGAUGAUGCAUAGCCGAGUUGAGAGACUGAUCGGCCACAUUGGGACUGAGACACGGCCCAAACUCCUACGGGAGGCAGCAGCC
This 201-nucleotide ribosomal RNA is filed under the name uncultured Lactobacillus sp. RNAcentral describes it as "partial 16S ribosomal RNA". It matches the Rfam family "Bacterial small subunit ribosomal RNA", at positions 161 to 355 of the family's 1533-position model. The record is from RNAcentral. Lineage: Bacteria; Bacillati; Bacillota; Bacilli; Lactobacillales; Lactobacillaceae.